GGGUCAAUAAUGACACCUCAAUGUGUCUCGAAGAGAGAUGAUGACCUAAAAACAUACUCAAUGGGAUUUCGCUGAGGCCC
This is a small nucleolar RNA of Loxodonta africana (African savanna elephant), 80 nucleotides long. Its record names the gene SNORD115. It matches the Rfam family "Small nucleolar RNA SNORD115". From Rfam's summary of the family: HBII-52 is a member of the C/D class of snoRNAs, which contain the C (UGAUGA) and D (CUGA) box motifs. NCBI's taxonomy places the organism in Eukaryota, Metazoa, Chordata, Mammalia, Proboscidea, Elephantidae. The record is from Ensembl.